Rhagoletis zephyria (snowberry fruit fly) is the source of this 156-nucleotide long non-coding RNA. RefSeq lists it as uncharacterized. Lineage: Eukaryota; Metazoa; Arthropoda; Insecta; Diptera; Tephritidae. The record is from RefSeq and is a predicted model, not a curated record.
UACUUUGGUGGAGUAAUAGCAACAGUACGUCAAGUAUUUUGCUCUCUCAACGCCAAGUAGUGUAUUUAUGCGGAAAAAUAGUAACAAUGUGUUGUCAGUAGAGUACAAUGCAAAGAGUACUUACUGAACGUAAUGCGGUAAAUAUACUUGCGCUGG